UAAUAUUCUCAGGGCGGGGCGGAAUUCCCCACCGGUGGUAGGUCAGAAAUAAGUCUGACGAGCCCACGAGCGCCUGAUAUGUAUCAGGGUCAGCAGAUCUGGUUCCAAGCCAGAGCCGACGGUUAUAGUCCGGAUGAGAGAGAAUUAAG
This 149-nucleotide non-coding RNA is filed under the name Vibrio mangrovi. Its description in RNAcentral is "FMN sequence". It matches the Rfam family "FMN riboswitch aptamer (RFN element)". From Rfam's summary of the family: The RFN element is a highly conserved domain that is found frequently in the 5'-untranslated regions of prokaryotic mRNAs that encode for flavin mononucleotide (FMN) biosynthesis and transport proteins. This element is a metabolite-dependent riboswitch that directly binds FMN in the absence of proteins. In Bacillus subtilis, the riboswitch most likely controls gene expression by causing premature transcription termination within the 5' untranslated region of the ribDEAHT operon and precluding access to the ribosome-binding site of ypaA mRNA. Lineage: Bacteria; Pseudomonadati; Pseudomonadota; Gammaproteobacteria; Vibrionales; Vibrionaceae. The record is from RNAcentral.